UGGUAUGAUACUAAACCCCUAACGGGAAGGAUUGUGCCUGAUGUUCAUAUGAUGAAAUCAUAAUCUUUCAGUCAGUUUAAUUGAAGUCUGGAGCUGGCAUGUCAGUUAACUGCUAGAAGUCUGUUGUUAUUUAUGUAUUAUUGUCAUUUUGUUUAUUUUCUUUGGUUACAUCUUCUGACAUCAGACUCGGACUUCUCUUGAACUGAAUUUUAAUGUGCGUAUUGU
Molecule: long non-coding RNA, 225 nt
Filed under: Mytilus galloprovincialis (Mediterranean mussel)
Lineage: Eukaryota; Metazoa; Mollusca; Bivalvia; Mytilida; Mytilidae
Source: RNAcentral